This 503-nucleotide ribosomal RNA is filed under the name uncultured bacterium. Its description in RNAcentral is "partial 16S ribosomal RNA". It matches the Rfam family "Bacterial small subunit ribosomal RNA", at positions 30 to 523 of the family's 1533-position model. The record is from RNAcentral.
AUUGAACGCUGGCGGCAGGCUUAACACAUGCAAGUCGAGCGGGGUGAUGGUGCUUGCACUAUCACUUAGCGGCGGACGGGUGAGUAAUGCUUAGGAAUCUGCCUAUUAGUGGGGGACAACAUCUCGAAAGGGAUGCUAAUACCGCAUACGUCCUACGGGAGAAAGCAGGGGAUCACUUGUGACCUUGCGCUAAUAGAUGAGCCUAAGUCGGAUUAGCUAGUUGGUGGGGUAAAGGCCUACCAAGGCGACGAUCUGUAGCGGGUCUGAGAGGAUGAUCCGCCACAAUGGGACUGAGACACGGCCCAGACUCCUACGGGAGGCAGCAGUGGGGAAUAUUGGACAAUGGGGGGAACCCUGAUCCAGGCAUGCCGCGUGUGGGAAGAAGGCCUUAUGGUUGUAAAGCACUUUAAGCGAGGAGGAGGUUCUUUUGGUUAAUACCCAAGAUGAGUGGACGUUACUCGCAGAAUAAGCACCGGCUAACUCUGUGCCAGCAGCCGCCGUAA